Molecule: ribosomal RNA, 406 nt
Filed under: uncultured bacterium
Lineage: Bacteria
Description: partial 16S ribosomal RNA
Rfam family: Bacterial small subunit ribosomal RNA
Source: RNAcentral
AUUGAACGCUGGCGGCCGGCCUAACACAUGCAAGUCUAACGCGUGGCGGACGGGUGAGUCAUGUCUGUGAAACUGCCCGAUGGAGGGGUAUCACUACUGGAAACUGUAGCUAAUACCUCAUACCAUCGGAUGUUCCCAGAUGGGAUUAGCUAGUAGGUGGGGUAACGGCUCACCUAGGCGACGAUCCCUAGCUGGUCUGAGAGGAUGACCAGCCACACUGGAACUGAGCAACGGUCCAGACUCAUACGGGAGGCAGCAGUGGGGAAUAUUGCACAAUGGGCGCAAGCCGGAUGCAGCCAUGCCGCGUGUAUGAAGAAGGCCGUCGGGUUGUAAAGUACUUUCAGCGAGGAGGCGUUACUCGCAGAAGAAGCACCGGCUAACUCCGUGCCAGCAGCCGCGGUAAUAC